UACGUAGGGUGCGAGCGUUAAUCGGAGUUACUGGGCGUAAAGCGUGCGCAGGCGGUUCGUUGUGUCGGCGGUGAAAGCCCCGGGCUUAACCUGGGAAUGGCCGUUGAAACUGGCGAACUGGAGUGUGGCAGAGGGGGGUGGAAUUCCGCGUGUAGCAGUGAAAUGCGUAGAGAUGCGGAGGAACACCGAUGGCGAAGGCAGCCCCCUGGGCUAACACUGACGCUCAGGCACGAAAGCGUGGGGAGCAAACAGG
This 253-nucleotide ribosomal RNA is filed under the name uncultured bacterium. RNAcentral's name for it is "partial 16S ribosomal RNA". It matches the Rfam family "Bacterial small subunit ribosomal RNA", at positions 524 to 776 of the family's 1533-position model. The record is from RNAcentral.